AGACCCGAAACCCGGUGAUCUAGCCAUGGGCAGGUUGAAGGUUGGGUAACACUAACUGGAGGACCGAACCGACUAAUGUUGAAAAAUUAGCGGAUGACCUGUGGCUGGGGGUGAAAGGCCAAUCAAACCGGGAGAUAGCUGGUUCUCCCCGAAAGCUAUUUAGGUAGCGCCUCGUGAAUUCAUCUCCGGGGGUAGAGCACUGUUUCGGCUAGGGGGCCAUCCCGGCUUACCAACCCGAUGCAAACUGCGAAUACCGGAGAAUGUUAUCACGGGAGACACACGGCGGGUGCUAACGUCCGUCGUGAAGAGGGAAACAACCCAGACCGCCAGCUAAGGUCCCAAAGUCAUGGUUAAGUGGGAAACGAUGUGGGAAGGCCCAGACAGCCAGGAUGUUGGCUUAGAAGCAGCCAUCAUUUAAAGAAAGCGUAAUAGCUCACUGGUCGAGUCGGCCUGCGCGGAAGAUGUAACGGGGCUAAACCAUGCACCGAAGCUGCGGCAGCGACGCUUAUGCGUUGUUGGGUAGGGGAGCGUUCUGUAAGCCUGCGAAGGUGGCCUGUGAGGGUUGCUGGAGGUAUCAGAAGUGCGAAUGCUGACAUAAGUAACGAUAAAGCGGGUGAAAAGCCCGCUCGCCGGAAGACCAAGGGUUCCUGUCCAACGUUAAUCGGGGCAGGGUGAGUCGACCCCUAAGGCGAGGCCGAAAGGCGUAGUCGAUGGGAAACGGGUUAAUAUUCCCGUACUUGGUGUUACUGCGAAGGGGGGACGGAGAAGGCUAUGUUGGCCGGGCGACGGUUGUCCCGGUUUAAGCGUGUAGGUGUGUGUUCCAGGUAAAUCCGGUUCACUUUAACACUGAGGCGUGACGACGAGGCACUACGGUGCUGAAGCAACAAAUGCCCUGCUUCCAGGAAAAGCCUCUAAGCAUCAGGUAACAUCAAAUCGUACCCCAAACCGACACAGGUGGUCAGGUAGAGAAUACCAAGGCGCUUGAGAGAACUCGGGUGAAGGAACUAGGCAAAAUGGUGCCGUAACUUCGGGAGAAGGCACGCUGACACGUAGGUGAAGUGAUUUACUCAUGGAGCUGAAGUCAGUCGAAGAUACCAGCUGGCUGCAACUGUUUAUUAAAAACACAGCACUGUGCAAACACGAAAGUGGACGUAUACGGUGUGACGCCUGCCCGGUGCCGGAAGGUUAAUUGAUGGGGUCAGCGCAAGCGAAGCUCCUGAUCGAAGCCCCGGUAAACGGCGGCCGUAACUAUAACGGUCCUAAGGUAGCGAAAUUCCUUGUCGGGUAAGUUCCGACCUGCACGAAUGGCGUAAUGAUGGCCAGGCUGUCUCCACCCGAGACUCAGUGAAAUUGAACUCGCUGUGAAGAUGCAGUGUACCCGCGGCAAGACGGAAAGACCCCGUGAACCUUUACUAUAGCUUGACACUGAACAUUGAGCCUUGAUGUGUAGGAUAGGUGGGAGGCUUUGAAGCGUGGACGCCAGUCUGCGUGGAGCCGACCUUGAAAUACCACCCUUUAAUGUUUGAUGUUCUAACGUGGACCCGUGAUCCGGGUUGCGGACAGUGUCUGGUGGGUAGUUUGACUGGGGCGGUCUCCUCCUAAAGAGUAACGGAGGAGCACGAAGGUUGGCUAAUCCUGGUCGGACAUCAGGAGGUUAGUGCAAUGGCAUAAGCCAGCUUGACUGCGAGCGUGACGGCGCGAGCAGGUGCGAAAGCAGGUCAUAGUGAUCCGGUGGUUCUGAAUGGAAGGGCCAUCGCUCAACGGAUAAAAGGUACUCCGGGGAUAACAGGCUGAUACCGCCCAAGAGUUCAUAUCGACGGCGGUGUUUGGCACCUCGAUGUCGGCUCAUCACAUCCUGGGGCUGAAGUAGGUCCCAAGGGUAUGGCUGUUCGCCAUUUAAAGUGGUACGCGAGCUGGGUUUAGAACGUCGUGAGACAGUUCGGUCCCUAUCUGCCGUGGGCGCUGGAGAACUGAGGGGGGCUGCUCCUAGUACGAGAGGACCGGAGUGGACGCAUCACUGGUGUUCGGGUUGUCAUGCCAAUGGCACUGCCCGGUAGCUAAAUGCGGAAGAGAUAAGUGCUGAAAGCAUCUAAGCACGAAACUUGCCCCGA
Molecule: ribosomal RNA, 2111 nt
Filed under: Salmonella enterica
Lineage: Bacteria; Pseudomonadati; Pseudomonadota; Gammaproteobacteria; Enterobacterales; Enterobacteriaceae
Also listed under: 1 other name
Description: partial 23S ribosomal RNA
Rfam family: Bacterial large subunit ribosomal RNA
Source: RNAcentral